This 429-nucleotide ribosomal RNA is filed under the name Acidobacteriota bacterium. RNAcentral describes it as "Acidobacteria bacterium partial 16S ribosomal RNA". It matches the Rfam family "Bacterial small subunit ribosomal RNA", at positions 355 to 776 of the family's 1533-position model. The record is from RNAcentral. Lineage: Bacteria; Pseudomonadati; Acidobacteriota.
UGGGGAAUUUUGGACAAUGGGGGAAACCCUGAUCCAGCCAUCCCGCGUGUGCGAUGAAGGCCUUCGGGUUGUAAAGCACUUUUGGCAGGAAAGAAACGUCAUGGGUUAAUACCCCGUGAAACUGACGGUACCUGCAGAAUAAGCACCGGCUAACUACGUGCCAGCAGCCGCGGUAAUACGUAGGGUGCAAGCGUUAAUCGGAAUUACUGGGCGUAAAGCGUGCGCAGGCGGUUCGGAAAGAAAGAUGUGAAAUCCCAGAGCUCAACUUUGGAACUGCAUUUUUAACUACCGGGCUAGAGUGUGUCAGAGGGAGGUGGAAUUCCUCGUGUAGCAGUGAAAUGCGUAGAUAUGCGGAGGAACACCGAUGGCUAAGGCAGCCUCCUGGGAUAACACUGACGCUCAUGCACGAAAGCGUGGGGAGCAAACAGG